UCCGGUUUGUCACCGGCGGUUUCUUCAGAGUGCCCAACUAAAUGAUGGCAACAGAAGAUAGGGGUUGCGCUCGUUGCGGGACUUAACCCAACAUCUCACAACACGAGCUGACGACGACCAUGCAACACCUGUUAACCAGCCCUUGCGGGAAGGGGUAUCUCUACCCCAGUCUAGUCAAUGUCAAGCCCAGGUAAGGUUUCUCGCGUAUCGUCGAAUUAAACCACAUGCUCCACCGCUUGUGCGGGCCCCCGUCAAUUUCUUUGAGUUUCACCCUUGCGAGCAUACUCCCCAGGCGGUAUACUUAAUGCGUUAGCGACGACACUGAAGGCGUUGAAACCUCCAACAUCUAGUAUACAACGUUUACGGUGCGGACUAC
This 376-nucleotide unclassified non-coding RNA is filed under the name uncultured Spirochaetota bacterium. Its description in RNAcentral is "uncultured Spirochaetes bacterium contains 16S-23S intergenic spacer region". The record is from RNAcentral. Lineage: Bacteria; Pseudomonadati; Spirochaetota.